This is a long non-coding RNA of Electrophorus electricus (electric eel), 1158 nucleotides long. RefSeq lists it as uncharacterized. The record is from RefSeq and is a predicted model, not a curated record. NCBI's taxonomy places the organism in Eukaryota, Metazoa, Chordata, Actinopteri, Gymnotiformes, Gymnotidae.
CUGUCCAUUAGGGUUUGUCGUCUCAACGUCAGCUCGCACCGUUAUUAAGAGGUAGCCCAAACACAUGACCAUGUCCACAUGUGCGACAUAAACCCGUGAAGAGAGGUUGGAGGAUAUCACCGCAGUAGGAACGGGAUUAAAAGGGCCACUCUCUGAGCUCGUAGAGAGAACAGACUGGACAGAAAGCCGGACUGCUGCACUUAAAGUGAAUAACAAACUAAAGAACCUUACAGUUCUAGGGUCUCAUCUGGGAUCGUCAGAUACAGGUUAACCAGACGCUGCCCAAGAUCCAGUGGUUCAGACCAUCACCACUAACCGCAAUGAAAUCUCUAAUGGCCGGGACCAUCAACUCCAUGACGAUCUCAGAAUAUCUACGGCAAUCCCAGUGUAAACAUGUCUUUUCUGUUCAUUUAAGACCUAUUUAUAGUAAUAAACAUGUGUCCUUGUUUGUUUUAUCUAUCCACUAGUCUGGAGAGAAAACUUUGUUGCACCUAAAGUGGGAAGGUCAGGAAUUUUUCCCACAAGACUCGGGUUUUUGCCUGGCCCUGGAGUAAUUUUAUUCUCUAUAGUUAUUCUGUUAGAAUAAAAGAGAGCAAUGUAAGAAUACAUUUCUUAUAGUUAUUAUAAAAUCCCUCUGUUAGUCUAGAAUGAAGAAGCUUGUGUUCGUUUCAGGUAUGGACUGCCCAUGUCCCCUUAAUCUGAUGAUUCAACAUGCAGCGAAUGGUCUCUCUGCAGAACUAACUGCUCUCUCAGAUCUCGAGUUGUAGCACUACUUCAUGUCAUAGAAGAAGAUUUCCCUUGUAUCUGUAGAACUAACGAUAACCAGUGGCAGUUAGCUAAUCUCCAACUGCUCACAACCAGCUCCAUUACUCACACACACUCUGCUUUCCCCUCAUGCAUUGCCUCCCUUUUCCUCACACACACACACACACCUCACCUCCACAAACACCUUCCCUCUGCUGCUAAUAAACUAGAGCUUCUCUGACUAAAACUGACUCUGGUCUCUUAAUUUGCUACUCUCCGAGCUUGUAGAGAGAACAGGCUGGACAUCAAACUGGACGGCAAACUAAAGAACCUUACAAAUCUAGAACCUUAAAGAAUCUUUUCAUGCCACAAGAUCUUUUAAGAGUCCUUUCAUGCAGAAGAACAAGGCAUCCC